CCUACGGGCGGCAGCAGUGAGGAAUAUUGGUCAAUGGGCGAGAGCCUGAACCAGCCAAGUCGCGUGAGGGAAGACGGUCCUACGGAUUGUAAACCUCUUUUGUCAGGGAGCAAAGAGCGCCACGAGUGGUGCGGCGAGAGUACCUGAAGAAAAAGCAUCGGCUAACUCCGUGCCAGCAGCCGCGGUAAUACGGAGGAUGCGAGCGGUAUUCGGAUUUAUUGGGUUUAAAGGGUGCGCAGGCGGAAGCGGCAAGUCAGCGGUAAAAUUUCGGGGCUCAACCCCGGCGAGCCGUUGAAACUGGUGUUCUAGAGUGGGCGAGAAGUAUGCGGAAUGCGUGGUGUAGCGGUGAAAUGCAUAGAUAUCACGCAGAACUCCGAUUGCGAAGGCAGCUUGCUGCAGCGGAACUGACGCUGAUGCUCGAAAGCGCGGGUAUCGAACAGGAUUAGAUACCCUAGUAGUC
This 460-nucleotide ribosomal RNA is filed under the name uncultured bacterium. Its description in RNAcentral is "partial 16S ribosomal RNA". It matches the Rfam family "Bacterial small subunit ribosomal RNA", at positions 338 to 795 of the family's 1533-position model. The record is from RNAcentral.